Molecule: long non-coding RNA, 878 nt
Organism: Mus musculus (house mouse)
Lineage: Eukaryota; Metazoa; Chordata; Mammalia; Rodentia; Muridae
Product: predicted gene 4665
Exons: 3
Source: RefSeq, a predicted model, not a curated record
UCUAGGCCAGCAAGGCUGUGUUCCAGGCCACAGGAUUGAAGCAGAGGAAAAGGAGGAAGAGGAAAAAGAGGGGAGACACCGUAUACAACAGUGGGCAACCAAAAAGCCCUUUUCAUUCACCGGUGUCAGGGAGCUUACUCCUCUGGGGACUGCAGCAAGGUGGCAGAAAUUGUUGUUCUUGAUGCCUGACUUUUCGUAAGGCCACAGCUCACAAUGGCCAAAAAUCCAAGGUGACUGUGUUCCCAGCACUCUGAUGGGUGCUCUCAUCACAAAGCCAUACUGUCCCAAGGGGUAGGGGGCACAGAGAGGUGACAUGGUGAACACUCCCCAAAGACUCACUUGACCCAGCACCAAGCUCACUGAGAUCCCCAGACACAUGCCACCAGCCAGGGAGUGACUUAGAACCCACUCGGUUCCUCUGGUUAAAGCAAUGCCUGGCUAAGACGGCUGACAUCAUCGCCACAUACAGGAAGGAAGGAAGAUGUGGGAGCAGAGAGGAAGAGGACCUAGAGGGUGAAGCAUCAAUGGAGAGCAGUCUCCCAAAGCAAUAGCGGGGAACGCAGCCAUGCCUGUAGGCUUCGUGCUCCCAAAUGGACCGAGACAAAAAGAUACGGAGACAAAAGCUCAGAUCCUGUGCUUGUCACUGAUGCUAAAUGCUUACGACGGUAACAGAGAGCCUGCAGCAGCGAUGUGGAUUUAUAGAAACCAGAGCCCCUCCGUUGGCAGAAGGCUAUGAGGAAAUGCAUUGCUUACACAUGAAGUAAGAGCUUAAUAAUUGUGACUUAAAACAAUUGUCAUUUAGAAUAUUUAAACCCUAAAGGCUUGGUUUGAUUUACCUUUCUGUUCCUUAUCCAAAACCUAAAUUAAAAAAACUAAAA